This 552-nucleotide long non-coding RNA is filed under the name Vigna radiata. RNAcentral describes it as "long non-coding RNA (VRAD_LNC013972)". Lineage: Eukaryota; Viridiplantae; Streptophyta; Magnoliopsida; Fabales; Fabaceae. The record is from RNAcentral.
CGGAAGCUAUGGCGCGUCGCAGCUGGAAAGGACCCUUCUGCCAACGGUGAUUGUGAUGGUAGUUAACGGUGGUGAGCGACAACUAUCGAUUCGUGGAUGAUGGUUAACUAUCCAAACAUGAAUCAUGCAUCUGAAACAACAACACAGAAACAAGAAUAGGGCGAACAUAGGAAAUCGAGAGAAGGAAAAAGGAGAAUACUUAAUGGGGUCAUGGUGUUUGGAUUUCGAAAUUUUGCCAACAACUGCAGGAAAUGUUGUAGGUGGCACCCUAGUAACAGGGAAAAAUAAAACAUUAGAGAAAUUUGAAAGCUUUAAUAUAAAAGGGAAAAAUGAAUUGAAUCGAAAAAAUCAAGAAUUAAAUUGGAAAAAUGAAGAGAAAAAGAAAGAGAUUGAAAAGAUGUGGAAAUUAGGAAAUGGAAAGGAGGGAUUCUGAAAUGGAAAAGAUGAAUCUGAAUUAGGAGACUAAUUGCUCCAUCGCUUUCAGCCAUACAGGAUCUGCCUUUGCUAGACCUUUCACCACCUUCAUUGUUCAACAAAGUAAAUCUCCGCGCA